This 739-nucleotide long non-coding RNA is filed under the name Equus caballus (horse). RNAcentral describes it as "lncRNA (ENSECAG00000047299.1)". Lineage: Eukaryota; Metazoa; Chordata; Mammalia; Perissodactyla; Equidae. The record is from RNAcentral.
UUCGUUGCGGCAUGUGGGACGCUGCCUCAGCGUGGUUUGAUAAGCAGUGCCAUGUCCGCGCCAGGAUUCGAACCAACGAAACGCUGGGCCGCCUGCAGCGGAGCGCGCGAACUUAACCACUCGGCCACGGGGCCAGCCCCGUGUGGAAAAUUUUUGAUCAUGAUUAAUUGAAUAGCAAUAUGUAUGAUCAAGUCAGGCACAAGGAUGGAAGGCUAGUUAGACGUCUUUUAUAACAGCUUAAGGGAAAGGAAAGGGAGGAAACUAGGGCAAUUGCAGUUGGAGUGGGGUGAAGAGGAUGGACCUAAGAGCUGUUCUGCAGAUAAGGAAAAUGAGACCCAGAGAGGCUGGAGAUCAUGGCCUUGCUCUUCCGUGCCAAGUUGCUGGACUCAUCUCCUCAGAGUGCUUCCUUUGAACUUCUUUAAUGCCACUUGACCAGACUUCACGUUGGGCUAUACUCAUGAGAUUUCCCUCCAGAAAUAGCCAAGGUUUGAAAUGAAACAAACCGUUUUUCAAGAUCAUCAAAAUAUUCUCAGAAAUAAACUGAAUGAAAUAUAUGGAUUUUUAAUUCCAAGGUCUGCACUCGAAGGGAGAGGCUGGCUUUCCAUGCAAAUAGUGCUCUCACAAACAUGGUGAACGUUCCUAAAACCCGCUGAAACUUGCCGCACUUUCUGUAAGAAGUGUGGCACAUACCGACCCCACAAAGUGACACAGUACAAGCCGGGCAAGCAUUCUCUGUGAG